UUUUGUGGAGAGUUUGAUCCUGGCUCAGGACGAACGCUGGCGGCGUGCUUAACACAUGCAAGUCGAACGAUGAAGCCUGCAACUUGUUGUGGGUGGAUUAGUGGCGAACGGGUGAGUAAUACGUGGGUAACCUGCCCUCCUUUUUGGG
Molecule: ribosomal RNA, 148 nt
Filed under: Actinotignum timonense
Lineage: Bacteria; Bacillati; Actinomycetota; Actinomycetes; Actinomycetales; Actinomycetaceae
Description: partial 16S ribosomal RNA
Rfam family: Bacterial small subunit ribosomal RNA
Source: RNAcentral